Molecule: ribosomal RNA, 258 nt
Filed under: uncultured Glomus
Lineage: Eukaryota; Fungi; Glomeromycota; Glomeromycetes; Glomerales; Glomeraceae
Description: partial 18S ribosomal RNA
Rfam family: Eukaryotic small subunit ribosomal RNA
Source: RNAcentral
AAGCUCGUAGUUGAAUUUCGGGGUCAGUAGGUUGGUCGUGCCACCGGUACGUACUGGUCUCACUGAUUCCUCCUUCCUGAUGAGCUGUAAUGCCAUUAAUUUGGUGUUGCAGGGAAUCUGGACUGCUACUUUGAAAAAAUUAGAGUGUUUAAAGCAGGCUAACGCUUGAAUACAUUAGCAUGGAAUAAUGAAAUAGGACGUUCGAUCCUAUUUUGUUGGUUUCUAGGAUUGACGUAAUGAUUAAUAGGGAUAGUUGGG